This 1349-nucleotide ribosomal RNA is filed under the name metagenome. RNAcentral describes it as "bacterial LSU rRNA". It matches the Rfam family "Bacterial large subunit ribosomal RNA", at positions 1564 to 2925 of the family's 2925-position model. The record is from RNAcentral.
UGAGUGCGAGCUGCUACGGCAGCGAAGUUGGUGACGUCAAGCUUCCAAGAAAAGCCCUAUACCCGUUAAGGCAUCAUGGCCUGUACCCGAAACCGACACAGGUGGGGUGGUAGAGAAUACCGAGGGGCGCGAGGUAACUCUCUCUAAGGAACUCGGCAAAAUGGCCCCGUAACUUCGGGAGAAGGGGUGCCACCGCAAGGUGGUCGCAGUGAAGAGGCCCAGGCGACUGUUUACCAAAAACACAGGUCUCCGCUAAGUCGCAAGACGAUGUAUGGGGGCUGACGCCUGCCCAGUGCCGGAAGGUUAAGGAAGCUGGUCAGCGCAAGCGAAGCUGGCGACUGAAGCCCCGGUGAACGGCGGCCGUAACAAUAACGGUCCUAAGGUAGCGAAAUUCCUUGUCGGGUAAGUUCCGACCCGCACGAAAGGCGUAACGAUCUGGGCGCUGUCUCGGAGAGAGGCUCGGCGAAAUAGAAUUGUCUGUGAAGAUGCGGACUACGUGCACCCGGACAGAAAGACCCUAUGAAGCUUUACUGUAGCUUGGUAUUGUGCCCGGGCUCUGAAUGCGCAGGAUAGGUGGGAGGCUUUGAUCAUCGGCUUGCGGGUCGAUGUGAGCCAACGGUGAGAUACCACUCUUUCAGAGCUAGGGUUCUAACAGUCACCCGUUAUCCGGGGACUGGACAGUAUCAGGUGGGCAGUUUGACUGGGGCGGUCGCCUCCUAAAAGGUAACGGAGGCGCGCAAAGGUCUGCUCAGGCUGGUUGGAAAUCAGCCGACGAGUGUAAAAGCAGAAGCAGGCUUGACUGUGAGACCUACAAGUCGAACAGGGAGGAAACUCGGCUUUAGUGAUCCGACGGUUCUGCGUGGAAGGGCCGUCGCUCAACGGAUAAAAGUUACUCUAGGAUAACAGGCUGAUCUCCCCCAAGAGUUCACAUCGACGGGGAGGUUUGGCACCUCGAUGUCGGCUCAUCGCAACCUGGGGCUGAAGUCGGUCCCAAGGGUUGGGCUGUUCGCCCAUUAAAGCGGUACGCGAGCUGGGUACAGAACGUCGUGAGACAGUUCGGUCCCUAUCCGGUGCAUGCGCAGGAAUAUUGAGAGGAGUUCUCCCUAGUACGAGAGGACCGGGAGGAACGCACCUCUGGUGUACCAGUUAUCGUGCCAACGGUAAACGCUGGGUAGCCAUGUGCGGAGAGGAUAACCGCUGAAAGCAUCUAAGUGGGAAGCCCACCUCAAGAUGAGUAUUCCCAUGGCGUUAGCCAGUAAGGUCACGGGAAGAACACCCGUUGAUAGGCUCUAUGUGGAAGCGCAGUAAUGCGUGAAGCAGAGGAGUACUAAUAGACCGAGGGCUUGACC